Molecule: long non-coding RNA, 3778 nt
Filed under: Brassica rapa (field mustard)
Lineage: Eukaryota; Viridiplantae; Streptophyta; Magnoliopsida; Brassicales; Brassicaceae
Description: long non-coding RNA (BRAP_LNC000623)
Source: RNAcentral
CAGUUCAUACCAUCACAUAUUUACAUAAUCUAGUAAGUACGAAAAGGACACAAAAAACCAAAAUAUGAAAGGUUUCUUUGGAGUUGUUAUGUUUCUGUUCUUAUUUAUUACGGUAUCUUUAGCCAGUCGCAAAAGUUUAACAAGUAUUGGAUCGAAGAGACUAGUUCCAGGAGGUCCAGACAAUGCGACAUCUCCAUCUAAUCCACCAGCGUUUGUAACUGAUAUUGAAAUAAAGAGGCUAGUUCCAGGAGUUCCAGAUAAUGCGACAUCUCCAUCUAAUCCACCAGCGUUUGUAGCAAAUAUUGAAAUGAAAAGAAAAGUUCCAGGAGGUCCGAACAAUCAGACAUCUCCACCUACCCCACCAUCUUUUUAGUGGAUAUAUAUUUUAAAAGUUCAAUAAAUUAAUAAUCACAAACUUUCUGUCAAUCUAAUCUAAUAUUGGUUUAAUUAUGAUUGUUUCAAAAAAAUAAAAAAUAAAAAUAAUAAGUAUUUUUUUCUAUACACUAUAUUAUUCAUUAAAAAAAAUGCUGAAUAUGAAAUAUAUAAUUUUCAAAAAAAAAAAAUCCUAAUACCAUUUUUUAGAAAGAAUCCUAAUAGCAUUUGAUUAAUUGCUUACCUGACUUUCCGAAGAAAACAUAAUAUUAAAAACACUGAAGUACACACUACUAAAAAUAUUUUUUCUGUGCGAAAAGAUCAUCACGUGAACAGACACAUCUAUUCAUUCAUGAUCCAUCAUUUAUCCUGGAGUGUUCCCAUCGCCGAUCAACAACAGUUUUCUUAGACCAUAAUAAAUGUUUGGCAGUUAUAAAGGAGUGGCUAAAUAUAGUCUGCUUUGUGCAUUUGUUUUUCUCUUGUGAUCAAAGUGUCAACAAAUACAUUCAUCUGUUUUUGUUACUCAUGGCAGACAAAUUACAAAAAGAUGCAAGAAAUUACGUUGAGUAUCAUUGAUGAAGACAUCACUUUACUCGACGAUUUAUACGAAGAUGCAUCAGAGGAGAACGGCUAGGGGUGUCAAAACAGAUACAAACUAAUGGGCCGAUCAGGACCAAUCCAAACCAUGAAUUUUAAUGGAUAGAAAAAUUGGGUACAAAUGGAUUAAUGGGUAAAUGAGUUAAUGGACUUAAAUGGUUUGGAUUGUAAUGGAUAAUGCCAAAUCAAUAAAAAUCUAUAACAAACUUAAAUUCAAAUCAAAUAUAUAUUAAAAAAAGUAACCAAACCAAAUUUCUAAACCAGUUUACUACACCAAAUUUUAUUUACUUUUCACAUAUACAACGAAAUUACAAUAACCUAAAUCUCACUUAGUUAUAAUUUUUUAAUGUUAAAACCCAAUUUCUCAUAUAUAUGUGGGGUUUUAGAAUUUAAAUCAUUUUUUUUGCCAAAUAGAUAAAAUCAAUUUUUUUGACAAAACAAAAAAUUGAUUUUUUCCAUCAAAAGCGCUAAAUCUCUUCUUUUUUUUUUUUAUCAAAAUCGUAAAAUUGUGUUUUUCACCAGAUCCACAAAAUCAUGUAUUCCUGCAAAAACUGCAAAAUCAUGUUUUUCUGUCAAAAUCGAAAAAUCGUUUUUUCUAGCCAAAACCGCAAAAUUGUGUGUUUCUCGCAAAAAUCGCAAAAUUGGGUUUUCCUGCCAAAACCACAAAAUUGAGCUUUCCCUCCAAAACUGCAAAAUUGUGCUUUCCCGCCAUGACCAUAAAAUCGAGUUUUCCCACAUAAAAUGUAAAUUGAGUUUUCUCACAAAAAACCGCAAAUUUGUGUUUGCCAGCCAAAACCGUAAAAUUGAGUAUUUCCGCAAAAUGUUUAACUGAAUGUUCCCUCCUAAACUGCAAAAUCUUUUUUUCCUGUCAAAACAAUAAAAUAAAGCUUUCCGCCUUUUGAAAAAACAAGCUUUCCUGCCAAAACCGCAAAUUAAGUUUUUCCGCCAAUAUCGCAAAUUUAGUUUUCCUGUCAAAACUCUAAAAUUUUGGUUUCCCGCCAAAACAGUAAAAUUCUGUUUUCUUGCCAUAAUUGUAAAAUUGUUUUUCCGCCAAAUCUGUAAAAUUGAGUUUUCCACCAAAACAUAAAAAUCUUGUUUCCGUAAAAUUAAUUUUUCUGCCAAAACCGCAACAUUGUAUUUUUCCGCCACACCUCAAAAAUCUUAUUUUCCUGACAAAACAGCAAAAUUGAUUUUUCCUGCCAAAACCGUAAAUCGUGUUUUCCAUCCAAAACCGUAAAUUGUUUUUCCCCAAAACCUGUAAAAUUGAGAUUUCCGACAAAGCCACAAAAUGGUGUUUUCUUCUAAAACUGUAAAAUUGAGUUUUCUUGCCAAGAUCACUUAAGAAAAUAAGAAAAUCUUAUUUUCCACCAAAACCUUAUAUUUGUAUUUAUUUUAAACCCUAAAAAUAAUACUUUUUACUUAAUAACUUUUAAAAUAUAAAAUUAUUGUCCAUGGAUUAACCGUUUAAACAAUUAACUCAUUAACUUAAAUGAGUUGUAGAUUGAUCCAAUCGAUUUGUCAAAUGUAUUGGUUUAAUACAUGGCCCAUAUAAUUUAAAAACCAUUUCGGUGUUUUGGUUCGGUUUACCCAUUUUGGAGCCAAUUAAACAUAUUUUACUUUUCAUAUUUUUAAACAUAUUUUCUUUACUAAAAUCAUAAAAAAAUCAUAAAUUUAUAUAAGAAUAAAAUAUACGAAUCCGGCGCAUAGCACCGGAAUACCGCUAAUAAAGAAUAUGAUAGUAUAUUAUGAAUUAGUUAAGUUUUUAAAACUAACUAGUCAAAAAUUGAUUUGAUAACGUUACCUUCAAUUAAUGUCUAAGAAUCUAGAAAUUUUAAUGGUACAAUUCAUAAAUGACACGCCUGGUUAAAUUUGAUUCUAUGUAGUGUUUUUGUUUAAGUAGAAUAGAUUAUAUAUAUAUAUAUAUAUAUAUGUAUAUAAUUAUUGAUUUAAUAUUUAGUUUAGGUAUGAGUAGUAGAUCUUUUUGAAAAAGGGUUUCAACUUCCUUAUAUAAAUUUAUCUAUAUUUAUUAUAUAUGAGUUCAAAUGUACUAAAACUGUUUUUAUUAAAAAAUUUCUCUGUUCAUGCAUUUAAUCUGUUUAGAUAUUUAAUUUUAAUAUUGAUAAGGUGACACAGAAAAAAGAAAUACGUGUCUUUCUAUUCAAAGAUUUUUUUGUUAGAUUUAGUUUUUUUCCUUUGAGAUAUCUAUACUAUUAAAAGAGUUAUUUGUUAGAAUGGUCUUGUUGUGUACCAUAAGUAUGUGCAUACUAAAUAUUUACCUUCAUUAACAGAUACUAUAAAUUAUCUCAUUUCAAGCAGUUCAUACCAUCACAUAUUUACAUAAUCUAGUAAGUACGAAAAGGACACAAAAAACCAAAAUAUGAAAGGUAUCUUUGGAGUUGUUAUGUUUCUGUUCUUAUUUAUUACGGUAUCUUUAGCCAGUCGCAAAAGUUUAACAAGUAUUGGAUCGAAGAGACUAGUUCCAGGAGGUCCAGACAAUGCGACAUCUCCAUCUAAUCCACCAGCGUUUGUAACUGAUAUUGAAAUAAAGAGACUAGUUCCAGGAGGUCCAGAUAAUACGACAUCUCCAUCUAAUCCACCAGCGUUUGUAGCAAAUAUUGAAAUGAAAAGAAAAGUUCCAGGAGGUCCGAACAAUCAGACAUCUCCACCUACCCCACCAUCUUUUUAGUGGAUAUAUAUUUUAAAAGUUCAAUAAAUUAAUAAUCAGAAACUUUCUGUCAAUCUAAUCUAAUAUUGGUUUAGUUAUGAUUGUUUCAAAAAAAUAAAAAAUAAAAAUAAUAAGUAUUUUUUC